UAUGAGCAUAAAUGAUGUAUGCUUUGUUGGGUAAGAAUCUGACCUAAAAAAAUUGGCUUCACUUCACAGUUUAAAAUAGACUUUUUCCUUAGACAGAUCAAAGAUACCUAGCAUUCAGCUAUGUUCAAAGGCUGCCAGGGAACUUCUGCUUGCCAACAGCAAGGACACGGGGACAGGCCCUUGUUGCUGUGUGAGCGAGGCCUGUGGGUGAUUAAAGAGGAUGGACGGGCUUGUCCACAGGGAAGCGUGGCGUAGGUGAGUGGAGCAGAUGAAGUGAAAUCUACCCAGAGCACUGGGCUGUGUGUGAGACCUCGGCUUACUUUUAUACUUCCUACGGCUAGUCUGGAAAACCUUUCAAUCCAAAGUAAUCAUUAGAAGACACAAAAAUCCAAAAUGUGAGAGAAGAAAAGACUAAUGAAAGCAGAGGUUCCCUGUUCAGCUGUUUCUAAGCCAACGAGAAGAGCAGCAGGCACUCCGAUAACUUCCACACAGUCCAUUUUUAUUAUUCUUCAACUAACAGGCAAGAAGCCAGAGCUCCUGUAAAUAUAUGCAUAAUUCAUUUGUAAGCAGUCAGACCUCUACUUUUAUGGCUCAGCUGGCAGACAGAGGAGAAACAACUAGACAUCAGAGACUACAGUUGGAUGUUGGAAAGCAGCAGCUUGACUUCAGAAGGACAGCUUGAUGGCUUAAUUUCAGAGAAGAAUCUGACUGGAGACCAGCCAGACUUCAGGGCAAGACCUUUCUAUUCUGUCCCCUUUUUAGCUUCCCUUUCUACUCAGAGCCACUUUCAUUGGCAAUAAAAUCCCCUGCAAUAAAAUACCA
Molecule: long non-coding RNA, 822 nt
Organism: Sapajus apella (tufted capuchin)
Lineage: Eukaryota; Metazoa; Chordata; Mammalia; Primates; Cebidae
Exons: 3
Source: RefSeq, a predicted model, not a curated record